Molecule: ribosomal RNA, 252 nt
Filed under: uncultured bacterium
Lineage: Bacteria
Description: partial 16S ribosomal RNA
Rfam family: Bacterial small subunit ribosomal RNA
Source: RNAcentral
UUGAACGCUGGCGACAUGCCUUACACAUGCAAGUCGAACGGUAGAGGGGCAACCCUUGAGGGUGGCGAACGGGUGAGUAAUGCAUCGGAACGUGCCCAGUCGUGGGGGAUAACGCAGCGAAAGCUGUGCUAAUACCGCAUGUGAUCUGUGGAUGAAAGCAGGGGACCGCAAGGCCUUGUGCGAUUGGAGCGGCCGAUGUCAGAUUAGCUAGUUGGUAGGGUAAAAGCCUACCAAGGCGACGAUCUGUAGCUG